ACAUGCAAGUCGAGGGGCGAGCAUAUCGAAAGCUUGCUUUGAUGAUGGCGACCGGCGCACGGGUGAGUAACGCGUAUCCAACCUUCCCUAUACUAGAGGAUAGCCCGGCGAAAGUCGGAUUAAUACUCUAUGUUCUUCGUAGAAGACAUCUGAAAUGAAGCAAAGGUUUACCGGUAUAGGAUGGGGAUGCGUCUGAUUAGGUUGUUGGCGGGGUAACGGCCCACCAAGCCCACGAUCAGUAGGGGUUCUGAGAGGAAGGUCCCCCACAUUGGAACUGAGACACGGUCCAAACUCCUACGGGAGGCAGCAGUGAGGAAUAUUGGUCAAUGGACGAGAGUCUGAACCAGCCAAGUAGCGUGCCAGGAUGACGGCCCUAUGGGUUGUAAACUGCUUUUAUACAGGGAUAAAGUGCACUACGUGUAGUGUUUUGUAGGUACUGUAUGAAUAAGGACCGGCUAAUUCCGUGCCAGCCGCGGC
RNAcentral lists this ribosomal RNA (477 nucleotides) under uncultured bacterium. Its description in RNAcentral is "bacterial SSU rRNA". It matches the Rfam family "Bacterial small subunit ribosomal RNA", at positions 53 to 518 of the family's 1533-position model. The record is from RNAcentral.